RNAcentral lists this transfer RNA (73 nucleotides) under bacterium. RNAcentral's name for it is "tRNA-Lys". It matches the Rfam family "tRNA". From Rfam's summary of the family: Transfer RNA (tRNA) molecules are approximately 80 nucleotides in length. Their secondary structure includes four short double-helical elements and three loops (D, anti-codon, and T loops). Further hydrogen bonds mediate the characteristic L-shaped molecular structure. tRNAs have two regions of fundamental functional importance: the anti-codon, which is responsible for specific mRNA codon recognition, and the 3' end, to which the tRNAs corresponding amino acid is attached (by aminoacyl-tRNA synthetases). tRNAs cope with the degeneracy of the genetic code in two manners: having more than one tRNA (with a specific anti-codon) for a particular amino acid; and 'wobble' base-pairing, i.e. permitting non-standard base-pairing at the 3rd anti-codon position. The record is from RNAcentral.
GGGCCUGUAGCUCAGUAGGCAGAGCAGCGGACUUUUAAUCCGAAGGCCGCGGGUUCGAUUCCCGCCGGGCCCA